AUGCCUAAUACAUGCAAGUCGAGCGGAGUUGAUAGGAAGCUUGCUUCCUUGAUACUUAGCGGCGGACGGGUGAGUAACACGUAGGCAACCUGCCCUCAAGUUUGGGACAACUACCGGAAACGGUAGCUAAUACCGAAUAAUUGUUUUCUUCGCCUGAAGGAAACUGGAAAGACGGAGCAAUCUGUCACUUGGGGAUGGGCCUGCGGCGCAUUAGCUAGUUGGUGAGGUAACGGCUCACCAAGGCGACGAUGCGUAGCCGACCUGAGAGGGUGAUCGGCCACACUGGGACUGAGACACGGCCCAGACUCCUACGGGAGGCAGCAGUAGGGAAUCUUCCGCAAUGGGCGAAAGCCUGACGGAGCAAUGCCGCGUGAGUGAUGAAGGUUUUCGGAUCGUAAAGCUCUGUUGCCAGGGAAGAACGCUUGGGAGAGUAACU
This 436-nucleotide ribosomal RNA is filed under the name Paenibacillus sp. 087-4.2-LH-A-05. RNAcentral's name for it is "bacterial SSU rRNA". It matches the Rfam family "Bacterial small subunit ribosomal RNA", at positions 44 to 466 of the family's 1533-position model. Lineage: Bacteria; Bacillati; Bacillota; Bacilli; Caryophanales; Paenibacillaceae. The record is from RNAcentral.